Molecule: ribosomal RNA, 873 nt
Filed under: uncultured Novosphingobium sp.
Lineage: Bacteria; Pseudomonadati; Pseudomonadota; Alphaproteobacteria; Sphingomonadales; Sphingomonadaceae
Description: bacterial SSU rRNA
Rfam family: Bacterial small subunit ribosomal RNA (bases 1-739)
Source: RNAcentral
GACGAACGCUGGCGGCGUGCUUAACACAUGCAAGUCGAACGAUGAAGCCUAGCUUGCUAGGUGGAUUAGUGGCGAACGGGUGAGUAAUACGUGAGUAACCUACCUUUAACUCUGGGAUAAGCCUGGGAAACUGGGUCUAAUACCGGAUACGACCAAUCUCCGCAUGGGGUGUUGGUGGAAAGCGUUAUGUAGUGGUUAUAGAUGGGCUCACGGCCUAUCAGCUUGUUGGUGAGGUAACGGCUCACCAAGGCGACGACGGGUAGCCGGCCUGAGAGGGUGACCGGCCACACUGGGACUGAGACACGGCCCAGACUCCUACGGGAGGCAGCAGUGGGGAAUAUUGCACAAUGGGCGCAAGCCUGAUGCAGCGACGCCGCGUGAGGGAUGACGGCCUUCGGGUUGUAAACCUCUGUUAGCAGGGAAGAAGAGAAAUUGACGGUACCUGCAGAGAAAGCGCCGGCUAACUACGUGCCAGCAGCCGCGGUAAUACGUAGGGCGCGAGCGUUGUCCGGAAUUAUUGGGCGUAGAGAGCUUGUAGGGGGUUUGUCGCGUCUGCUGUGAAAGGCCGGGGCUUAACCCCGUGUAUUGGGUGGGUACGGGCCACUACAGUGCCGUAGGGGAACGGGGAACUCCUGGGUGUACGGUGGGGAUGCGCGGAAAUACGAAACAACACCCAUGGGAAAGGCCGUUUCUGGGGGUUGAUGAAGCUGAGAAGCGAUGCUUGGGGAGCGACACAUUUAUAAACGGCAUCUUCAAGGGGGAGUGCGCAAGGAGAUUUUUUUUUAUUGGGCGGCCCCCGGGCGGGGGGCCCCCCCCGGGGUAGUGGCGUGUGGGGAGGGGUUGAAAAGACCAAAAAUGCAGAUUAUUCUACAA